UCUUCAUUUCACACACUCUCUCAUCCGGACGAGUGGUGAGAAAGUGUGUGAAAUGAAGAGA
Pristionchus pacificus is the source of this 61-nucleotide non-coding RNA. The record is from Rfam. NCBI's taxonomy places the organism in Eukaryota, Metazoa, Nematoda, Chromadorea, Rhabditida, Neodiplogasteridae.